Molecule: ribosomal RNA, 263 nt
Filed under: uncultured archaeon
Lineage: Archaea
Description: partial 16S ribosomal RNA
Rfam family: Archaeal small subunit ribosomal RNA
Source: RNAcentral
AGGGUGUAAACGCUGCAGACUUGGUGUUGGAGGCCCUUUGGGGGCAUUCAGUGCCGGAGAGAAGUUGUUAAGUCUGCUACUUGGGAGUACGUCCGCAAGGAUGAAACUUAAAGGAAUUGGCGGGGGAGGCACCGCAACGGGAGGAGCGUGCGGUUUAAUUGGAUUCAACACCGUAAAACUCACCAGGGAAGACUGUUACGAUGAAGGCCGAGAUGAAGACUCUGCUAGAUUUUUCAGAGAGGAGGUGCAUGGCGUCAGUGACU